Non-coding RNA from Camellia sinensis, 154 nucleotides. The record is from RefSeq and is a predicted model, not a curated record. NCBI's taxonomy places the organism in Eukaryota, Viridiplantae, Streptophyta, Magnoliopsida, Ericales, Theaceae.
AUGAUAUAUGUGUUGAUGUAGGAACCCACACUUUAUGUCCUCAUCAUGUUCAUGAGCAUCCGUAUGAUUACGACUUGUUAAGCUUGCAUGUGUAUGUUGUGACUUGUUUUGCCUUAGCAAGUGAGAUCCGUGCCUCGAUUUGGAGCCUUGUGAU